AUACGUAGGUGGCAAGCGUUGUCCGGAAUUAUUGGGCGUAAAGCGCGCGCAGGUGGUUCCUUAAGUCUGAUGUGAAAGCCCCCGGCUCAACCGGGGAGGGUCAUUGGAAACUGGGGAACUUGAGUGCAGAAGAGGAUAGUGGAAUUCCAAGUGUAGCGGUGAAAUGCGUAGAGAUUUGGAGGAACACCAGUGGCGAAGGCGACUUUCUGGUCUGUAACUGACACUGAGGCGCGAAAGCGUGGGGAGCAGACAGGAUUAGAUACCCUGGUAGUCCACGCCGUAAACGAUGAGUGCUAAGUGUUGGGGGGUUUCCGCCCCUCAGUGCUGCAGCUAACGCAUUAAGCACUCCGCCUGGGGAGUACGGUCGCAAGACUGAAACUCAAAGGAAUUGACGGGG
This 397-nucleotide ribosomal RNA is filed under the name uncultured bacterium. Its description in RNAcentral is "partial 16S ribosomal RNA". It matches the Rfam family "Bacterial small subunit ribosomal RNA", at positions 523 to 918 of the family's 1533-position model. The record is from RNAcentral.